UGUAUACAGUUAUUAUACUUAUUAUAUAUACUUUUUCUUUUAUUAGUUAUAACCUUUUUAUUUUAGAUUAAAAAGGGGGAAAUGUAGUGAUAUUUUGUUUGUGCUCUAACAAAUAAAGCCUACCUGGAUAUCAGAGUGUGGAGCUAGCCACUAGAGGCCAGGAAGUGGUGGUACACACCUUUAAUACCACCACUUGGGAGGAGGAAACAGGAAGUGACAUGGCUGAGCAGAGAGAAGAAGUGAUAAAGCAGAGUGGAGACAGGAGCUCAACCCUUUCAGUCUGAGGAUUCUUAGAGACCCAUUAGAAUUCAUGCUACAGCAGGAUAUUGGAAGACUGUGGACAAUGAUGAAAGAAGACUGAAGAAGGAAGAGUAAGCCAGAUCGAGCUGAAUUAAAAAAAUAGAAGACCAGGUUUUUUCUGGGCAAAGCAGCUCCCAGAGUCUCUGAGGAUGGGGUUUGGAGAAACAGGAAAGGAGCAGAAACAAGCUGAAGGUUCCAACAGAACAAGAAUUACAGAAAGGAAGAGGAGGUAAGCGAAUGUGAUGGAGGAAAAGUAGUACAAGAGAAGAGAGAGAAUGGAAGAGCAGGCAGGGGAAAGGGCAGGGAGAAAGAGCAGGGAGGCAGGAACAGGAGGGAGCAUGGAGAAAGGAGGAGGGAUGAAAGUAAAAACCAAAGUGGUAGGAGGGAAGAGGAGGGAGAAGGGAAGACAGCAAGUAGAGAAUUGGAGGGAGUAGGGAAGAGGAAGGAAGAGGAAGGAGGAGGGAAUAGGAGAGUGAAGGUAAUCUGGAAGAGGAGAAAAGAGGGAAAGGAAGUAGAGAAAGGAGGAAUGAGGAGGGAGGGAGGAAGACAGAAGAGGAGAAAAAAGAGAAGACAGAAGAGAAAGGAACACAAAGCAGAAAGGAGAUAGAGGGAAAGAAGACAUGAAGUGGGGUAGGGAAAAAAGAAAGAGGAGAAAACUAGAAAGUAAGAAGAGAGAAGCGAGAAAGGAAGGAGGAGAGAGGAGAGGAGGGAAACAAGAAGAGGGGGAGAUGGAAGAGGAGGAAGGAAGGAAGUAGAGGAAGUAGGGAAGAAGAAGUAGGAGAGGAGAGGAGGGAGUGUAGAAAAGGAUGGAGGUAAGAAGAAGGAGAAUGUACGAGGUGAAAGGAGAGAAGAUGAAGGAAUAGGGAAAAGAUGGAAGAGGAGAGAGAACAAAGAGGAGAGAGAGGGAAGAUGAAAGGCAUGGAUAGAGGAGGGAAGAUGAUGGGGUAAGGUGAAGAGAAGAAAUAGGAGGAGAGAAGAGAAAGGAGGUGAGAAAAAGCAAGGAGACAGCAGUGUUAGGAGAAGAGAGGGGA
Molecule: long non-coding RNA, 1331 nt
Organism: Peromyscus eremicus (cactus mouse)
Lineage: Eukaryota; Metazoa; Chordata; Mammalia; Rodentia; Cricetidae
Exons: 4
Source: RefSeq, a predicted model, not a curated record